UCAUUUUUAUACGCCCGUCUAUGACGGGACGUAUUAUGGUAUACCCCGCGUCCGUCCGUCCGUCUGUUAAUGUCGUACGCUACGUCAAAUAUCCUUUGACAGAUUUUCUUCAAAUUUUAACACAAUCUUAAUAUUGAUAAACCCUGAUCCCCUUUCGUUUUUGACGGAAUUCUGAAUUGUCGUUCCAGAGUUAUGGGACUUUGUUCGUCAAAAUUUCGUGAUUUCAUUGAAUGUCCUACUGUAGCUAUAUAAAAAUGUUAAAGUUGUUAUAACUUUGGUAUGCUUGGACCUAGAGUCUUGAAACUUGACAUGAAGGUUGGCCAGAACUAGUAAGUAACCACUGGACAUUUCAAGGUCAUUCAUUUGAAGGUCAAGGUCACUGUGACCUUGAAUGUAAAAAUGUUAAAGUUCUUAUUUCAUGUUAUAACUUUGGUAUGCUUGUACCUAGAGUCUUCAAACUUGAAAUAAAGAUUGGCCAGUACUAGAAGAUGACCACUGGUCAUUUCAAUGUCAUUCAUUUGAAGGUCAAGGUCACUGUGACCUUAAAUGUUAAAAUUGUUAUAACUUUGGUAUGCUUGGACAUAGAGUCUUCAAACUUGACAUGAAGGUUUGCAAGCACACUUAGAUGACCACUGGUCAUUUCAAGGUCAUUCAUUCUAAGGUCAAGGUCACACAAGUUCACUGUGACCUUAAAUGUUAAAAUGUUAAAAUUGUUAUAACUUUGGUAUGCUUGGACAUAGAGUCUUCAAACUUGACAUGAAGGUUUGCAAGCACACUUAGAUGACCACUGGUCAUUUCAAGGUCAUUCAUUCUAAGGUCAAGGUCACUGUGACCUUAAAUGUUAUUGUUGUUCAUGUAUCCUACCGUAGCUCAAAUAUCCCCCGAUGGAUUUUUUAUACGCCCGUCUAUGACGGGACGUAUUAUGGUAUACCCCGCGUCCGUCUGUCCGUCCGUCCGUCCGUCCGUCUGUUAAUGUCGUACGCUACGUCAAAUAUCCUUUGACAGAUUUUCUUCAAAUUUUAUUGAUAAACCCUGAUCCCCUUUCGUUUUUGACGGAAUUCUGAAUUGUCGUUCCAGAGUUAUGGGACUUUGUUCGUCAAAAUUUCGUGAUUUCAUUGAAUGUCCUACUGUAGCUCAAAUAUCCUUCGAUGGAUUUUUUUCAAAUUUCAACACAAUCUUAAUAUUGAUAAACCCUGAUCCCCUUUCGUUUUUGACGGAAUUCUGAAUUGUCGUUCCAGAGUUAUGGGACUUUGUUCGUCAAAAUUUCGUGAUUUCCAUGCUCAUGUACUUAUAAAAUAAACCAUGUAUUCAAAUACAAAUAAACUGAAGUAAAAAAAUGA
This is a long non-coding RNA of Dreissena polymorpha, 1340 nucleotides long. RefSeq lists it as uncharacterized. The record is from RefSeq and is a predicted model, not a curated record. NCBI's taxonomy places the organism in Eukaryota, Metazoa, Mollusca, Bivalvia, Myida, Dreissenidae. The transcript has 2 exons.